This 254-nucleotide ribosomal RNA is filed under the name uncultured Stenotrophomonas sp. RNAcentral's name for it is "partial 16S ribosomal RNA". It matches the Rfam family "Bacterial small subunit ribosomal RNA", at positions 99 to 355 of the family's 1533-position model. Lineage: Bacteria; Pseudomonadati; Pseudomonadota; Gammaproteobacteria; Lysobacterales; Lysobacteraceae. The record is from RNAcentral.
CGGACGGGUGAGGAAUACAUCGGAAUCUACUCUGUCGUGGGGGAGUAACGUAGGGAAACUUACGCUAAUACCGCAUACGACCUACGGGUGAAAGCAGGGGAUCUUCGGACCUUGCGCGAUUGAAUGAGCCGAUGUCGGAUUAGCUAGUUGGCGGGGUAAAGGCCCACCAAGGCGACGAUCCGUAGCUGGUCUGAGAGGAUGAUCAGCCACACUGGAACUGAGACACGGUCCAGACUCCUACGGGAGCAGCAGCA